Molecule: long non-coding RNA, 567 nt
Filed under: Bos taurus (domestic cattle)
Lineage: Eukaryota; Metazoa; Chordata; Mammalia; Artiodactyla; Bovidae
Description: long non-coding RNA NONBTAT012120
Source: RNAcentral
AAAAACUCACAGUAAAAAUAAUUCAAAUGCAACUUUCAGUAAAAUAGUAUGCUUUAAAAAAACUUCCUGAAGCUCAGUUAAUUUAAAUAUAAUAUCAGGCAUUAGGAUUUUCAAACUGACUACUCAGAAAUAUUAGUUAUUCUUCAAAAGAGAAUUUCCCCAAACAUGCCUUAAAUAAAAUACAGGUUCCCAAUCCUUACCCUCGACCUACUGGAUCAGAUUAUCCAGAGAAGAAAACAGAGGAGUUAAACGUUAAAGAGCACCAAAGGCUCCUCUUGAGAUCUGGUAAGACUGGGAAACACCACACUGAGAAAGGCAAGUUUUUAAUGACAAGGAAAAGUCUGCAAUUAGCAUGGAGAAUAGUAUAAUUCUGAGGAUUCUACAAAUAUUUCUAAAACACUCUGUCCAGUGAUUCAAUUUAGUAACUAGUCAUUGAGCACCUACUCUGGGGGCCACUGGGCAUCUGCUAAUAAGGUGAGUUUGCAGAGGAGGAAAGAGACAUAUACAACUAAGUCUACUGCAGGGCAAUGCACAUCAGCGCCAAGUUCUGCCAGCCAGGUAUCAGAG